Molecule: ribosomal RNA, 492 nt
Filed under: uncultured bacterium
Lineage: Bacteria
Description: partial 16S ribosomal RNA
Rfam family: Bacterial small subunit ribosomal RNA
Source: RNAcentral
AGUGAACGCUGGCGGUAGGCCUAACACAUGCAAGUCGAACGGCAGCACAGUAAGAGCUUGCUCUUACGGGUGGCGAGUGGCGGACGGGUGAGGAAUACAUCGGAAUCUGCUUUUUCGUGGGGGAUAACGUAGGGAAACUUACGCUAAUACCGCAUACGACCUACGGGUGAAAGCAGGGGAUCUUCGGACCUUGCGCGAGUGAAUGAGCCGAUGUCGGAUUAGCUAGUUGGCGGGGUAAAGGCCCACCAAGGCGACGAUCCGUAGCUGGUCUGAGAGGAUGAUCAGCCACACUGGAACUGAGACACGGUCCAGACUCCUACGGGAGGCAGCAGUGGGGAAUAUUGGACAAUGGGCGCAAGCCUGAUCCAGCCAUACCGCGUGGGUGAAGAAGGCCUUCGGGUUGUAAAGCCCUUUUGUUGGGAAAGAAAAGCAGCAGGUUAAUACCCCGCUGUUCUGACGGUACCCAAAGAAUAAGCACCGGCUAACUUCGUG